This 425-nucleotide ribosomal RNA is filed under the name uncultured bacterium. RNAcentral describes it as "partial 16S ribosomal RNA". It matches the Rfam family "Bacterial small subunit ribosomal RNA", at positions 354 to 796 of the family's 1533-position model. The record is from RNAcentral.
GUGGGGAAUCUUGCGCAAUGGGCGAAAGCCUGACGCAGCCAUGCCGCGUGAAUGAUGAAGGUCUUAGGAUUGUAAAAUUCUUUCACCGGGGACGAUAAUGACGGUACCCGGAGAAGAAGCUCCGGCUAACUUCGUGCCAGCAGCCGCGGUAAUACGAAGGGGGCUAGCGUUGCUCGGAAUUACCGGGCGUAAAGGGCGCGUAGGCGGACAGCUUAGUCAGAGGUGAAAGCCCAGGGCUCAACCUUGGAAUUGCCUUUGAUACUGGCUGUCUUGAGUUUGGGAGAGGUGAGUGGAACUCCGAGUGUAGAGGUGAAAUUCGUAGAUAUUCGGAAGAACACCAGUGGCGAAGGCGGCUCACUGGACUGGUAUUGACGCUGAGGUGCGAAAGCGUGGGGAGCAAACAGGAUUAGAUACCCGAGUAGUCC